Molecule: small nucleolar RNA, 73 nt
Filed under: Kryptolebias marmoratus (mangrove rivulus)
Lineage: Eukaryota; Metazoa; Chordata; Actinopteri; Cyprinodontiformes; Rivulidae
Description: Small nucleolar RNA SNORD101 (ENSKMAG00000012676.1)
Rfam family: Small nucleolar RNA SNORD101
About the family: snoRNA U101 is a member of the C/D class of snoRNA which contain the C (UGAUGA) and D (CUGA) box motifs and guide the 2'-O-methylation of rRNA and snRNAs.
Source: Rfam by way of RNAcentral
GCUUGUAUGAUGAUUCACAUUUUGUCGGAUACCCCUUCACUCUCCAAUGAGUGAAAUCCCACUUCUGACACGC